Eucalyptus grandis is the source of this 1335-nucleotide RNA transcript. It is a transcript of the gene named protein IRREGULAR XYLEM 15-like, with no coding region annotated. The record is from RefSeq and is a predicted model, not a curated record. NCBI's taxonomy places the organism in Eukaryota, Viridiplantae, Streptophyta, Magnoliopsida, Myrtales, Myrtaceae. The transcript is spliced from 2 exons.
GCCUAGCUAAUAUUUUCUAUCAUUAUAGUGAUUCGUUUCUUUAAAAUUCCGUUUACCUACAGUCCCUUUUUACUCCUUUAAAGGAGCUAAGAGGUCUCGGCCUCAUUUAAGUUCAAGAUCUGCAAGGUUACCAGAGGAGGGUAACUCUCUCUCUCUCUCUCUCUCUCUCUGAGACAGAGCAAAAUGAAGAAUGUCAACAACAGCAACACAAGACUCAUCCUCCUCCACCCUUACAUCCAGAAGCAAGGAAGCUCCAACCGCCUAUGGCUCCUCGCCUUCAUCUCCUUCUUGACCACCGCCUUCGUCGUCACCCUCAUUUACACCAGAGAGUAUUCCACAACCGCCGCCGCCUCCGCUGCCACCACCACCUUUCCCUCCACCACGACCGCCUAUAGCAACGCGCCUCUGCCAUCGACCGUCAUCAACACCCUCCUUCACUAUGCAUCCAAGUCCAACGACUCUUUCCGCAUGUCCUACCCCGAGCUCAAGCCCAUCUCGGACGUCCUGAGGAAAUGCUCCUCCCCUCGCAACUUCCUAGUGUUUGGCCUCACUCAUGAGACCCUCCUCUGGAAAGCCCUCAACCAUCACUCAGAAGCGAAGUACCGCAUGGAUGAAUUUCACUAUACCAUCGGGUGAUUGCCCCCCAAAAAAGUUUCUAUUCGAGCAUAAUGCCGAUGAGAGACAAUGUCAAGACAAAGCAGUUUCCCUGAAAUUGCCAGCUCUGUGCUGCAUACCUGACAAGAGCUCCCACAGGCCCAGUCCUUGAAAUUGGAUGGUGAUGGCUUAGUCAUAGAGUGAGAGUUUAGAGCUGCCAAAGCCAUUGAUAUCUGCGUGAGGAAGAUUAUCUCCUCCCGCCAGUGCUUGUCCCUUCGUACGAAGGAACCCCACUCUGUGACGUCCGCCAGAAGUAGCUGGUCUUAAGCCAUGAUCGAAGAUCAACCACAAGCAAUGGACAAUGAGGGUUGGCCUCACUUGGGCAAGGGUCGCCCUUGCCCAGUGAUUGAUGAGGGCCAUCGGACCAUCGUCGGCCUCGUCAACUGCAACAAAAAAGGGAAAGAAAAGAGAAAAAUAAAAUAAAGUCUAAAAAUUGAGAAAAGUUACAAAAAUUGUCCAUAUUAUUGUUGACGGUGUCACGUAGAAUAAUUGACAUCCACAUUAUGAUUUGUUCAAAACCCCUAAGGCGAGUUCAUUUGUGUGGUUCAAAGUGUAAUGUAGACGAUAAAAUGCAGGAUUUCUUCCACACUAAUUUGGAUAGAAUCAAAAUUUAGUGAUUACAUUUCGAAUCAAUCUUGACUGAAAUUUGUUGGAUUCGAUCUUGUUGUGUUCACCAUAAAA